UGAGCACAGGACUGAAUAGAUUUUUAAAUUUCAAAGCAAGGUGAUCCUUGACAGAAGCAAAGAACAGAGCCUCAAACAAAAACCUUAGUGAAAACAGAAAGCAGAGUCACUUACAGAAUUUGAGAGACGGUGUCAAAAUUUCUCAUUCUGAAAUCUGCUUUCAUCAUCACUUCUUUCUAUUGAUACAGUGAAGAUUCCUCUGAAGAAAUCAUUUUUAGAAGAAGAGAAAGACAUGCCAUGGCCUUACAGCAGGUAGAUGUCUUCACAUGGAUUAGUUUCAGCAAGCAGUGAGUGUGAAAGCUGAGAGCGUGAACCUUUGUAUCACAGGUGGGAUCAACUCCGGACUCGCAUGUGAGCCAUGGAACUUUAUCCAAGGGAUAUAACACCUUAAAUAUGUAGUUGCCUUACAUUAAAAAUGGGAAUAAGAGCAUGUACUCCAUAGUAAAAUUGUAGGGAUUCGAUGAGAUAAUGCAUAUAAAGGGACAGAUUCAAGUUAUUUACCAUGACCCUAAAGAAAAGCAGCAGGUUAGUGUGAACUUCAGUGUAAAUAAAAGAAAAGGGAAAAUUACACAGGAAGGAAACUAUAGGGAGGAGAUGAAAUGAUGGGUAUUGAAUUCUGGAGUAUGUCAACCAGGAUUACAUGCCUGGGAAGUGAGGCAUGGAGUUAGGAGAAGAAACCAAGAGAAGUGGGGAAGUGAUAUUUAAGUGGAACAUUGCCUCCUCUGUACAGUUAAUGAACUUGAUUCUGCCAGGGAAUCCUCCUUUCUCUAGGACUCCAGGGUUCAAGAAGAGGGUGGAACAGCUAACCUCAAUGCUGAUCUUCCCUUACAUCCAUUUAUGUUUAGAGCACAAAGGGCAUUAAAGUAUUGGCAAAGACACGUGUGCACUUGCAAUCAGAGGUAGCAAGGUGGCUGGGAGGCCAGGUGCACCAAGUUCUUUGUUUUGUAUACGCUCACCUUGGCCCUAGUUGGCUAUGGGCCUGCCCUUGCUACAUGACAUAUCCCCUGCUCCUUCCUCAGCUAUCAUCUCUGGGUCCAUUGCCUGUCUUUCAGGAGAAACAUCCCUCUGCUUGUCUGAAGGUUUUCUGAAGGUCUGUUGAGAGCAGAGGUGACCAAUGCUAAAACAAUCUGCACAUUCUGCAGUUGAUCCUGUCCCUUUUCCUCAUCUCUCUCCGAGUUAUUUUUCCCUUGAAAGUCAUCUAUA
RNAcentral lists this long non-coding RNA (1203 nucleotides) under Marmota monax (woodchuck). The record is from RNAcentral. Lineage: Eukaryota; Metazoa; Chordata; Mammalia; Rodentia; Sciuridae.